This 497-nucleotide ribosomal RNA is filed under the name uncultured bacterium. RNAcentral's name for it is "partial 16S ribosomal RNA". It matches the Rfam family "Bacterial small subunit ribosomal RNA", at positions 28 to 507 of the family's 1533-position model. The record is from RNAcentral.
GAUGAACGCUGGCGGCGUGCCUAAUACAUGCAAGUCGAGCGAACGGACGAGAAGCUUGCUUCUCUGAUGUUAGCGGCGGACGGGUGAGUAACACGUGGAUAACCUACCUAUAAGACUGGGAUAACUUCGGGACACCGGAGCUAAUACCGGAUAAUAUUUUGAACCGCAUGGUUCAAAAGUGAAAGACGGUCUUGCUGUCACUUAUAGAUGGAUCCGCGCUGCAUUAGCUAGUUGGUAAGGUAACGGCUUACCAAGGCAACGAUGCAUAGACGACCUGAGAGGGUGAUCGGCCACACUGGAACUGAGACACGGUCCAGACUCCUACGGGAGGCAGCAGUAGGGAAUCUUCCGCAAUGGGCGAAAGCCUGACGGAGCAACGCCGCGUGAGUGAUGAAGGUCUUCGGAUCGGAAAACUCUGUUAUUAGGGAAGAACAUAUGUGUAAGUAACUGUGCACAUCUUGACGGUACCUAAUCAGAAAGCCACGGCUAACUACGUG